GAGUUACAGUGUCGACCUACAUGUCUCAUUAGGAAAGAAACCGACACGGCGCAAAGGUGCCCCCUCUGCAGUUUGAGGUUCUACUGAAAAAAAAAAGUGCACGUUGUGGAAUAAUCGCUCCUUGAAAUGGAGCAGGCAGGUUUGUCAGGUCGCAGCACGCGCGCAGGCUGGAAUGGAUAACGUAUGGAUCACUUUUAACCCCACCAUCAUCGAGACGCCUCGUUAGUUUUAAAAUACCCUGCUUGUUUCAUAUAAUUGAAAUGAACUCAGGGGAACGGAUGGCAGCCGUAAAGGGGAGUGGACGUUCGUCCCCGGGCUUCCUUUGCGUGAGAUCCGAAAUGCAAGACCGACGGCUGGAAGCAAUGCAACCCCCAUCUGUUCGGGGGUUAAUUGACUCUUAGAAUCCAUUUCCAGCACUCGUAUUUCUCUGUUGCCUGAGCCGUGUCAAUAUCGCUUCAUUAUUCCGGCAAACAACAGCCGCUCCAAACAUAACAAACCGCGUAGUCAUUUCUAAACGCUCGCUGCCGGUAAGAACUCUGUCUAGACCGCCGUGUGCACUGAGGUGCCGUCAGUUUCCAGGAGGGGUGUUCUCCAUCUGCUCCCCCCCAGGUAAAACAUUAAAUUGCAUUUUUUUUUCUUGUGUGAGAGCCGCACGCAGCAAAGUCGAGAGCCGGGUGUUGGAAACAAAAGCCCGAUGGGAGUUUUGCUGGUGUGCCUCGGCUAACCCACUCACCGUAUAAUUAACUACUCGAAUCAAACACACCAGAGAAGUACUGUGAAGUGUUCUGGAGACGGUGCGCUAAUCUUUUGGCAAACAAAAACCGUCAGAGGCCAAUCAAAAGGAGUCAUUCAGCCGUCUAAGCAGCGCUGCCUACAGGAACUCUUCUAGGCAACCCGGAAACUUCUUUUUUGGGGGGCGUAUGGGGGGAAAGAAGCCUGUCCUCUUAUGAAAAUGUGUGUCUUAGUUGGUGGGACGCCUGUGUGCUCAGGGGAAGUGAUCAAUGCUGCACAACAGCAUCGCUCUCUGACCUCUGGUCCUCUUUGGGCGUCUGUUAUCUCUCAGCUCCGCCCUCAUGUGCAUCCAUCCAUCUGUGUGUGUGUGUGUGUGUGUGUGUGUGUGUGUGUGUGUGUUUCCCUUUCUACGGCCCAUUGUCCUCCACCAGGCACAACGGGAUGUUAUCAGCUGCAGCCAGACUCAGCCACCUGCAAUGCUUCGUUAACUGUGUGUGUGUGUGUGUGUGUGUGUGUGUGUGUGUGUGUGUGUGUGUGUGUGUGUGUGUGUGUGUGUGUUUGCAUGCUCAUCCUGCAAACAAUGCUUCAUUACACGUCCCUCCCAGGGCUCCCUUAACAUUUCUUCCUGUCUGAUUAAAACAGUGAGUGUCCUGUUAUCUCUUCCAGUCAUUUCCCCCGGGCAGACCUUUUGGCUUGAAGGAAGGCGCACACACACACACACACACACACACACACACACAGGCACGCCUGCAAACAGAGUUUACGUGUUUGUUAGCAGUGUAAUCAUGAUAUAUAUCAGGAUUUGUAAUAAUCACUUAGUGUUUAAUCAGUGUGCAGCUCACAGAUACACAUACUAUGAUGGUAGUCAAAUUAAAUAUGCUCACAAUCUCUAAUCCUAUUUAUUUGCAUCUUGAGUAGCCUGAACACUGCAAAAGUUGUAUCUCGUUUCCCUUUUUCCCCCCGAGGCUUCGAGCCCGUCCUCUUUCUCGUGCCGACACAUCGGAGAAACACGACUCUCUUCAGGAAAUGAAGACUUUGGCAAUCAGCUGGCUCAGGCCUUACGCUGUCACGGUCUGCUUUGUUCACAUUCAGAUAUUCAAAGUCAGUGAGAGCGGGUGCAGAUGAAUGCGCCGGCAGGGCUGAAGGCUACGGAGCGUCACGUCUAAUAAGGAUCUGUCAGGUUUUCACACAAAGUCUAUUGAUCAUCCACGUCUGGCCCAGUUUCUCUCCUCGGCCCAGAUUAAAGAUUUCACCAAUGAAAAAGAAUCGCAAAAACACAGAGGGACACGGGGAAUGUAUAAUUAGAUGUAAUUAUUCAACGUUAUGCAAUGUUUUUUGAUAUUUCAUGGACCCGUCUGUCAUACUUGUGUAAACCUAAUGUUUGAAUGACAAAGUUACACCCUUCAUUUACAUAAUACUAGAUAUUUGAACUUUUCAGAUUUCUGCUCCACGGUCCUGGUUACUGGUGGAAGACGUCCGUAUUAAUGGUGGAAGACGUCCGUAUUAAUGGCGGAGGAUGUCGGUGUUACUGGUGGAAGAUGUCGGUGUUACUGGUGGAAGAUGUCGGUGUUACUGGUGAAAGAUGUCGGUGUUACUGGUGGAAGAUGUCCUGGUUACUGGUGGAAGAUGUCGGUGUUACUGGUGGAAGAUGUCCUGGUUACUUGUAGAAGAUGUCCUGGUUACUGGUGGAAGAUGUCCUGGUUACUGGUGGAAGAUGUCCUGGUUACUGGUGGAAGAUGUCCUGGUUACUGGUGGAAGAUGUCCUGGUUACUGGUGGAAGAUGUCCUGGUUACUGGUGGAAGAUGUCCUGGUUACUGGUAGAAGAUGUCCUGGUUACUGGUGGAAGACGUCCAUAUUAAUGGUGGAGGAUGUCCGUGUUACUGGUGGAAGACGUCGGUGUUACUGGUGGAAGACGUCCAUAUUAAUGGUGGAAGAUGUCGGUGUUACUGGUGGAAGAUGUCCUGGUUACUGGUGGAAGAUGUCCGUAUUAAUGGUGGAAGAUGUCCUGGUUACUGGUGGAAGAUGUCCUGGUUACUGGUGGAAGAUGUCCGUAUUAAUGGUGGAAGAUGUCCUGGUUACUGGUGGAAGAUGUCCGUAUUAAUGGUAGAAGAUGUCCUGGUUAAUGGUGGAAAAUGUCCUGGUUACUGGUGGAAGACGUCCAUAUUAAUGGUGGAAGAUGUCAGUGUUACUGGUAUAAGAUGUCCUGGUUAAUGGUGGAAAAUGUCCUGGUUACUGGUAGAAGAUGUCCGUAUUAAUGGAGGAGGAUGUCAGACGUGUUGUUUUCAAACGAACCUCCUCGGUCGGCGCGCAGUGGAGUGGGAAAUAAACACUGUUGCUGAGGGAUCUUUCUGUUUUCUCAUAAGCAGCCUCUGAGGGGAUUACAGAGCCUGGAGCUGUUAAACAGCUGAUUGUGAAUGCAUGUUUUUUUAAUAAAUGCCAUCUGCCUGCUCGACUGAUCAUCAGCAGUCUCCAUGCAGUGAUAAACAAGCACAUUAGAGACCAGCACAUCUGCUGACACCUCCCGAUACACAAGGUCUUUUCAAGAAUUCAUUUAUGUCUAGUAUUUCUUUUCUAAAUGCGCCUGCCACUUGUGUACGGUUCUGCCUCUGGGCUGUAUGCGCUCUCCAAUUUAAAUCGGUUUGCCUAAUUGAUAAAUGGUAUCGCUUAAUAGCUUGUGACAGACAAUUAAUAGCGGCGUCAGGGCGGGUAUGUGAAGGUCGUGGCGGAGGCUGGCGGUUGAUGGUUUAAUUGGUUUAUUCUGGGCUCUGAAGACACGGCACCCUGAAGCCACCCUGAUGGCUAAUUCGAGCUUACGGGCACUUUUAUAAGCACCGAAACACCCAAAAGACCGACCUGCUGCCCAUGUAUCUACUAUUUUGAAGAUAAAAUUAUUUGGUUUUUUUAUCUGGUUCUAAUGUUCAAAGAUUUGUCAAUUUUAUUAAUUUCCUGCCUGACCCAGAAUGGCUUCUGGCAAACCCAGGAAAGAGGCCUUGAACUAAUAUUUGGGUAAUUCAUUUUUCACAUUAAGAACUCCAUGUGAAGAGACUGAAAGCGAAACGAAAGCGGUGGCCACAAUGGAGGAUUUGGCACAGAUGUUGUCCGGGAUACAUUUCAGAGCUCAACUGGUGGUUCGGCUCUGAUCUGAUUUAAAACAUCUGACUGAGAACCGGCACAAAUAGAGGCCUUCAACCUUGCAUCUGCAAAAUCAGGCAAAAAAAAGGACUCUUAAAGAGUUUUAUCUCAUCCAAAACGGGUAAAAUCAUGUAAAACUAUGACAUCUUUAAUAUCUUGUUUUCUGUCUCAUACGUUCAACAUUUCAUUAAUUCACCACAUAGGUGGAUGGUACAGUGAUAAUUGCCACCAAGCAGGCGUUUUGUGGACAUGACGUGGCACAUUAAUGUGUUGUAUUUGUAUUUGUUGUAUUUAUUCAUGGCACUGAGGUCCAUAGCAAACAUGCUCAAACAGCCUCACCACGUUAAUGCAUGCACAGCGUUCCCGCGCUAUGUGUGUCUUUAUUAGAUCUCCCACAGCUCCACCUCAGCCUGCUUCACCUUAUUCCUCCUUCCAGGAGCUUUAUGAAAAAUUCAUACCCUGGGACGGUGUGAGUCCAGCCUUAUUUAAAAUAUCCCCACGCUGGAAGAGGCUUCUCCUGCUGAACACUCGACACCUUGCGGCUACGCUGGCUCCCCGACCGCCGCGAGCAGAGAGCAAUAUCCCCGUUUCUGGUUUCUCCAGCUGGUUCCUCGCUUCACAGUGGCUUGAACACGGAAUAACAGAACGGCACGAUUGUGAUUAUUGACUCAUUCACUCUGGGGUGGUUGUAACAUCCAAAAUAGUAUCUUCAUUGAACCGCAGCAAAAAACGGCGAGCAGGUCGCACACAUGUGUUAAAUACACACACACACACAGCAUGACAGUGGGUUAACAAAACACUUAGCCACACCAGCGGACCGCGGGUCGAUAGUGGCGGCGCCCCGUCACUGGCUCAGCACCACUCUUUAAUUAUACCGCCAUUGAUUGGCCCGGCUCCUGAAAAAAAUAUUU
Long non-coding RNA from Gasterosteus aculeatus aculeatus (three-spined stickleback), 4775 nucleotides. Lineage: Eukaryota; Metazoa; Chordata; Actinopteri; Perciformes; Gasterosteidae. The record is from Ensembl.